CAGUACUGGACAUUGCGGGCCGAAGAGAUUCCUGAAGAAGAGAAGAAUCUAGGCCUGAAUGCUCGUUUGAUUCAUGUGUAUCACUUCACUAAAGAAACUGCACAAAACCAAAUGCAAAUUCAGAAUUUUGGGGAACCUUUCCUCUUGGUUAUCCAUGAGGGUGAGACUUUAGCUCAAGUGAAGGUGCGAAUACAGAAGAAAUUGCAGGUCCCAGAUGAAGAGUUUGCUAAGUGG
RNAcentral lists this unclassified non-coding RNA (234 nucleotides) under Hevea brasiliensis (rubber tree). The record is from RNAcentral. Lineage: Eukaryota; Viridiplantae; Streptophyta; Magnoliopsida; Malpighiales; Euphorbiaceae.